RNAcentral lists this ribosomal RNA (403 nucleotides) under Fusobacteriota bacterium. Its description in RNAcentral is "Fusobacteria bacterium partial 16S ribosomal RNA". It matches the Rfam family "Bacterial small subunit ribosomal RNA", at positions 355 to 776 of the family's 1533-position model. The record is from RNAcentral. Lineage: Bacteria; Fusobacteriati; Fusobacteriota.
UGGGGAAUAUUGCACAAUGGAGGGAACUCUGAUGCAGCGACGCCGCGUGAACGAAGAAGGCUUUCGAGUCGUAAAGUUCUUUUAUAUGGGAAGAUAAUGACGGUACCAUAAGAAAAAGCCCCGGCUAACUACGUGCCAGCAGCCGCGGUAAUACGUAGGGGGCUAGCGUUGUUCGGAAUCACUGGGCGUAAAGGGUUCGCAGGCGGAAAUGCAAGUCAGGUGUAAAAGGCAGUAGCUUAACUACUGUAAGCAUUUGAAACUGCAUAUCUUGAGAAGAGUAGAGGUAAGUGUAAUUUUUGGUGUAGCAGUGAAAUGCGUAGAUAUUAAAAAGAAUACCGGUGGCGAAGGCGACUUACUGGGCUCAUUCUGACGCUGAGGAACGAAAGCGUGGGUAGCAAACAGG